GAAGGAGGGCCCUUCGGGUUCGGCAAUCACGUGCUGAUCUCAAGCCACCGCAAGCUGCUGCGGUCAAAAGCCGUGGUGGUGAGCGUUGCGGAAACGCCGGAACACGAUUCCGGCAGGC
This 118-nucleotide non-coding RNA is filed under the name Bradyrhizobium sp. Rc2d. The record is from RNAcentral. Lineage: Bacteria; Pseudomonadati; Pseudomonadota; Alphaproteobacteria; Hyphomicrobiales; Nitrobacteraceae.